Molecule: long non-coding RNA, 2870 nt
Organism: Dromaius novaehollandiae (emu)
Lineage: Eukaryota; Metazoa; Chordata; Aves; Casuariiformes; Dromaiidae
Exons: 3
Source: RefSeq, a predicted model, not a curated record
GUGACUGUCUGGGCUGCACCGUGGCGUGAUCUGGUUCACAUGCCAGGAACUUUGAUGGGGAGAGGUUGAGAUUAAUGAUGACAUAAUACAGGGUGUGGUGGCAGGAGUUUUUUCCUCUAAUACAGCGAUGGAUUCCAACCUGGGAUCGGUUCCUGGAUGGAGACGCAGCAUGCCAGCGGUGUUCAGUUCAAAUCUGCAGAGAAUUAAUAUAACUGGACUGAAGUUACAAGGAAGAAUUGGACUGAGCCAGGAGGGCUCACGCUAACAGAAGAUUACUAGCCAUAAGAAAAUUACAGCUCAUCUGAAAGACAGUGCCUAAAAUAGCAGCAUAUCCUUGGCACCAUCAUAGGAACUGGUUAACUGAUGACCCUGAAGAAACACUUGUUCCCAUUAAUUCUGCUGUCAUUAUUUCGCUAGCCUCGAACUCUUCCUCUGAAUUCUUCUGUCCUUCUGAUCCCAAGACAUGAUGGCAGGAACGUGAGAGAAAACAAAGAAAUUACAAUAAGCUGUCGGCUAUAUAAUUAUAUUGUAACCUACUUCACUGAGAAGUUACACCAACAGAAAUUUGGCAAGGUAUUGGCUGUUAGCUGCUAUCUAAACACUGGACACUCACUAGUAUAACAUUAAAAAAAACAGGCUCACUAAAAAGCAACAUCUACAUUACAAAGAAGCUAACAAAAGAAUUCCCUUAUGAUACUUAGGUUCAUCUGCUUCAUCUUAGGUUCAUCAGCUACAUUUUCUUCUUUUAUGAAUACUUGUUACAUUUGCAAUUGAAUAUAUAUUUAAGGUCACAAUGCUACAAACCUUUUUCCAGCAUGUAGUUUCGCCACCUUUAGUUAGACAACAUGUGACACAAAGGAGCACUUGCUCCAGUUAGGGUUGAAGGUUCUGCUGAAGGUUGGUGACUUUAUUAGGUCAUGUGUGCUGUAAUGACUUGUGCACCACAAUUUUUAAAUCCCUAAGACAUGAUUUCCUAGGUAGAAGGCAGCAAAUGUGCUUUGAAAUUGCCAAGCAGACCAAGAGAGUCUUUUUGUUCCAAACAAUCAGCUGUAAAUCCUGAAUCGGAACAAAUUCAUAAUUUGUAGAGUUCAGAUUUUAAAGUAUCUCUACCGAACAGAAGUAAACAGUCUCUGAUUAAAUUCCAAAUGUUCCAAGGACCCUAUUGUAAACAUACUAACUUUUACUGUUAAGGGACUUACUGGCAAGAGUUAUCAGUAGGGCCCUGUGGUGAAGAUGCCUUUGUCUUCAAGAAUAGCUGCUGUGCCACAAAGCAUCCCAAAUACAGGUACAUCGUGGUUAUCUGAACCCUGGGGUUACAGCUGAACCUCCCACACACCCCCUUUUUCCUUUUUUUACAGAGUGUGCAUGGUGUCAACAUUAGGAAAUCUUGCUCAAAAUAUUUUUCUGAAAUCUUAGUAUUUUUCAAAAUGCACCUAUGCCAAACUGUUCAGAUAACCAGAGCUUAUCAAUAUAUAUUCCAAAUGAACAGAAAGAAAGUAUCUUUGGACUUUUUAUAUUCCAACCCCAUUAGAAGCCAACAGAAUUUAUAAGGCUUUCAAAUGAGUUUUUGCUCUUGUCACACCAGUAGUUACAGUGGCCACAUGUCACCAUGGCCUCUGUGAUGAUAGGGCACUUAAUUUAAUAGUUAUUUGGACAAACACAAUUUUGGAAGUUGCAGCAAAUGAAGUCCCUGGCAUUACAUUUGACAGGGCCUGGUUGAGAGGAACAAAAGAGUUUUGGGAAUCAAGAAAACGAAGACUUCAGAAUUCCAAAUUUGCCACUGAUCUGUUGAUCACAUCUUGGGCAUCAGCUGCCUUCUGCAGUUGUCUAGUCUGGUAAAAAUGGGGACCGUCAUGCUUAUUUCUCUAGCUCAAAAAACUGUCAUGAUAGAAUAAUUAUUUGUAUAGCACACAGAAGAUAAAGUGCUAUCCAAAUGCUGCUUACUCAUGUUUUCCUCACUACAAGAAUAUAUCUUCAUCACUAAUAAUUAUCUGCUAAUUACCAUUGCUGAGAAUAUGAUGGUGUUCACCACCUUAUUUUUAAUUUCAAUACAGAUACUUUCUUAAAAGUUAUGUAAAUAUAUGAAAUUACAGUACAUUUUCCUAAUGGCCCUGCUACAUCUGAGCUUGAUCCUAUUCAAUUGUGACUACGAAUUGAAUAGCAAUGAUGACCUCUAUUCAGUAGAACUACAUAGACAGUUUCUAUUGUAUUCUCAACAUCUAAACCAUGAAAUGUAAGGAAGCCAUUCUAAGCAGAAUACAGCUGGGUCAAAGGCCUACUGAUGCCAAUUAUGCUUUGUACAUAAUAAUGCACAUUUUACCUAUUUGGAAAAAAAUUCACAUUUAUUUACUGUCAAACAGGUGUUAAACUUUACACUGGAUAUUAGUGAUGGGCUCAUUAUUAACAGGUUUACACAAAGGGAUGAAAAAAGCAGAAUUUUGUUUAAACAAUUUACAUUUCAUUAGAUUUUUAUCAUAAAAUAAAUUAAUUACUAAAUAUAGGCAGAAGGAAUAUGGAAGAGUAAUAGUUAUGUUUUAUUUAUUUUUUUUUAAAGGACAGGCACCUUUUAUUCACGAGAAAGCUUGUGAGAAGUGUCCAGUGUCCCCUUUACCCCUUACCACCCAACCCUGAUUAAAGAAUGAACAGGGAAUUGAGUUACAAUCUUUGUUAGCUAUACCAGAUUUGUGCAAGGCUUGGCAUAAUUGGCGUCUAAAACGAAUUUCUCCCCAAAUUAUUUUUUUUGGCAAUAAAAAUUCAAAACGUAAGAAUAAAAACAAACUUGUCAAAGCAGAACACUGUUUACAGUGAAAAAUAAGUGAAAACGGGUAGAACUUGCAUUUUAAACAUACUACCGUACUAUGAACAGAGUG